RNAcentral lists this non-coding RNA (29 nucleotides) under Mus musculus (house mouse). The record is from RNAcentral. Lineage: Eukaryota; Metazoa; Chordata; Mammalia; Rodentia; Muridae.
CAAAGNGUAAUUACAAAGGUGUGAUCAGG